Molecule: long non-coding RNA, 631 nt
Filed under: Manihot esculenta (cassava)
Lineage: Eukaryota; Viridiplantae; Streptophyta; Magnoliopsida; Malpighiales; Euphorbiaceae
Description: long non-coding RNA (MESC_LNC003090)
Source: RNAcentral
AUUAAUGCUAUAAAUUUAUCCUCCUUUCUAUACAUUCUCACCUAUAAAAGAUAAUACUUUAAUAAAAAAACAAAUUAAGUUUGCAUAAUUAUUUGUAAAAAAAAAAAUUAGACAUUGAAUUUACAGAAUAAUCGUUGGAGAGAAGGAUCCGCAACCGUAUAUGAGUUAAAGAGUACGAAAUUUCAACGGUAAACAGUGAAAAGAUUUCUCUGCUCUAAUCUGAACACAAAGGUACUGUACGUGAAGACUUGUCCAGAGCAAAGCCAAAAACCACGUGUGGGGCACACAUAGACCCACAUAAGAGAGAGAGCUGCCUCUGCAACGAGGUAUAGCUGGCGGCUAUGUCCACCGUCAUCUCUUCCCUCCGGGCAAUGACCUACAGAUGAUGGAGAAGGGCUUGUCACCCCCGAGACUCGCGCGCUAUAAAAGAGUUUCGGGACAUGGGCUCCCUCCCUCUCUCUAUCUUUCUCUUCUGUGCUAAGGAUUGGACGUUUCCAACUCACGGACACAGUCAUGUAGUCCAAAUACUCAGUUGUCACUAAUCAAGACUCUCAGUCAAGCACUGCAAACUUCUCUACUUCGCAAUUUCCCUAUGCAUUUUAGUAUAGUAUAUUCACUAUGUCCAUCACUG